GCGCGUCGGGAACUCGACGGCGACAAGAAAGCAGGAGGARGCUCGUUCGCGAGGGAUCCGGCGUUCCRGAGCCGGCGAAAAUGUSGGUUUAUYACGRGAAARGAGGYUUUCCCACGGGAAAGCCCUUUCCAUCCUGGACCUCAG
RNAcentral lists this unclassified non-coding RNA (144 nucleotides) under Balliviaspongia wirrmanni. Its description in RNAcentral is "sequence contains ITS2, 28S rRNA gene". Lineage: Eukaryota; Metazoa; Porifera; Demospongiae; Spongillida. The record is from RNAcentral.